CCUACGGGAGGCAGCAGUGAGGAAUAUUGGUCAAUGGGCGGAAGCCUGAACCAGCCAAGUAGCGUGCAGGAUGACGGCCCUACGGGUUGUAAACUGCUUUUAUACGGGAAUAACGCGCCUUACGUGUAGGGCUUUGCAUGUACCGUAUGAAUAAGGAUCGGCUAAUUCCGUGCCAGCAGCCGCGGUAAUACGGAAGGUACGGGCGGUAUCCGGAUUUAUUGGGUUUAAAGGGAGCGUAGGCCGCAUGUCAAGUGGGGUGUGAAAUUUCCGGGCCCAACCCGGGCCUUGCAGCGCAAACUGGAGUGCUUGAGUGCGCGGGAAGCAGGCGGAAUGCGUGGUGUAGCGGUGAAAUGCAUAGAUAUGACGAAGAACCCCGAUUGCGAAGGCAGCAUGCUGCAGCGGAACUGACGCUGAUGCUCGAAAGCGCGGGUAUCGAACAGGAUUAGAUACCCCAGUAGUC
This 460-nucleotide ribosomal RNA is filed under the name uncultured bacterium. RNAcentral's name for it is "partial 16S ribosomal RNA". It matches the Rfam family "Bacterial small subunit ribosomal RNA", at positions 338 to 795 of the family's 1533-position model. The record is from RNAcentral.